Nonlabens marinus S1-08 is the source of this 91-nucleotide non-coding RNA. The record is from Rfam. NCBI's taxonomy places the organism in Bacteria, Pseudomonadati, Bacteroidota, Flavobacteriia, Flavobacteriales, Flavobacteriaceae.
UAUCUUUGCAGCCGCUUAGGGAAUGAAUCCCGAAGGCACCGUCAGAAAAUCUGACAUACAUAAUAUUCAUUAUAUAAAUAAUUUUGGCAUG